RNAcentral lists this transfer RNA (74 nucleotides) under Eutypa lata UCREL1. RNAcentral's name for it is "tRNA-Ile (AAT) (tRNA-Ile-AAT-7-1)". It matches the Rfam family "tRNA". Rfam says of the family: Transfer RNA (tRNA) molecules are approximately 80 nucleotides in length. Their secondary structure includes four short double-helical elements and three loops (D, anti-codon, and T loops). Lineage: Eukaryota; Fungi; Ascomycota; Sordariomycetes; Xylariales; Diatrypaceae. The record is from RNAcentral.
GGCCGCGUGGUGUAAUGGUUGCACACUCUCACAAAUAUUGAGAGAGGGGCAGAGUUCGAUUCCUGCCGUGGCCA